Mugil cephalus (flathead mullet) is the source of this 1079-nucleotide long non-coding RNA. RefSeq lists it as uncharacterized. The record is from RefSeq and is a predicted model, not a curated record. NCBI's taxonomy places the organism in Eukaryota, Metazoa, Chordata, Actinopteri, Mugiliformes, Mugilidae. The transcript has 2 exons.
UCCUGUCUCUGUCGCGGGCGAAACAGUUCCAGUUCCUUUUCUUUUUUUGGCAUGCCAGCAGUUUGGUAGAGUUGGUUUGGGGUUGGUGCAACAGAAUUCUCCGGGUAAGAGAGUAGCUAGUAGCGUUAAGUUUUGGAAACGAAAAUGAGAGCCGCAGUGGCCGAUACAUUAACGAGUCUAUUUGUCUCUGUGUAAUGUUGCUGUGAAGUGUUUGGUGGCCGUCCGACAGCGUGCAUCGGUAUGUAUAAGCUCCCCGACUUGAUGUGCCAUUUCAGUAACAACUAGAUGCCAGCAAUUUUGGGGCUGGAGCUGUACUCCUGCAGACGGGUACGGAUAGCAUUGAUCACCCUGUGAGUUUCAAGUAAGUUUGAGUUGAAUUAUUCCAUUGUGGAGAAAGAGGCCUUGGCUCUUAUUUGGGCAGUGAAACAUUUUGAGGUCUAUGUUAGUGGUGGAGGAAAGCCACUUGUUGUUUACACUGACCAUAACCCCCUGUUGUUCUUAAAUUCGUUAUAGAAUCCUAAUCGGUGCCUUAUGUGGAGGUGUCUGUUUCUUCAGCUGUUCAACCUAGACAUUCACCAUAUCAUGGGUCUGAUAAUGUUUUGGCUGAUGCUCUAUUGUAUGCACUACCUCUUUAAAGUCUGUCUUAAAUGAUACAUUUUUAGGUAAAAAAGCGCCUUUACCAUUUACCAUUUACUUGGUUUGGUUUGAUGCGUUGAGCUGUGUUCAGUUAUAUAAAUAAUAAAUAUUAAUAAUGAAAUAUUAAUUUUAUAUUACAGUAUGAAUCCAGACAUAGCGUUUGUCUAGAUGUUGAAAUGAGGUUGUUAGUAGUUUAAGUUAGACUGUAAUGUAAAUUAAGAUCGAGGAACCAGAAUGUGAAUAUUCAUAAUAAUAUUUCGUACUCGUACACAUUCUGAACAUAAAUUAUUUUACAUGUCUAUUUGUCUGUGUAAAAUUCAGGUGAUCCAGAUCAGAUGUUCUACAUGAGAUGAACUAUCAGGACCUCUCAUCUGGACAGAGAACACUUUGAAAGUCAUUACUACAAUCACCAAUUUUUAUUAAAGCCCAGAUGUGAAAUUUUA